CCUACGGGAGGCAGCAGUGAGGAAUAUUGGUCAAUGGGAGAGAUCCUGAACCAGCCAAGCCGCGUGAGGGAAGACGGCCCUAUGGGUUGUAAACCUCUUUUGUCGGAGAACAAAACCCGGGACGUGUCCCGGACUGCGUGUAUCCGAAGAAAAAGCAUCGGCUAACUCCGUGCCAGCAGCCGCGGUAAUACGGGGGAUGCGAGCGUUAUCCGGAUUUAAUGGGUUAAAAGGGUGCGUAGGCGGUCCGUUAAGUCAGCGGGAAAAUUGCGGGGCGCAACCCCGUCGAGCCGUUGAAACUGGCAGACUUGAGUUGGCGAGAAGUACGCGGAAUGUGCGGUGUAGCGGUGAAAGGCAUAGAUAUCGCGCAGAACUCCGAUUGCGAAGGCAGCGUACCGGCGCCAGACUGACGCUGAGGCACGAAAGUGUGGGUAUCAAACAGGAUUAGAUACCCUGGUAGUC
Molecule: ribosomal RNA, 459 nt
Filed under: uncultured bacterium
Lineage: Bacteria
Description: partial 16S ribosomal RNA
Rfam family: Bacterial small subunit ribosomal RNA
Source: RNAcentral